AUGAGACAUUAUUAUUAUUUUAUGGCGGUAAAAUACACAUAGCAUUAAACAUACUUUAUUAACCAUCUUUAAGUGUGCAGUUCUGUGGUGCUAAGUACAUUCUCACUGGUGUGCAACCAUCCCCACCCUCCAUCUCUGGAACUCUUUUCAUCUUGCAAAAUUGAAACUCUGUCCCCAUUAAACACUUAUCUCCUCAUUUCCUCCCCCAUCCUCCAGCCUCUGGUAACUACCAUUGUGUUCUCUGUCACUGUGAGCUUGUGUGUGUGUGUGUGUGUGUGUGUGUGUGUGUGUGUGUUUGUGUAUCCAUUCUACAUAUAGGUGAAAUUAUGCAAUGUGUGUAUUUCUGUGUCUGGUUUAUUUCACUGAGCAUAAUGUUCUCCAGGUUCAUUCAUCCACAUUAUCACCAGUGGCAGGAUUUUUUUUUUUUUUUUUACCAGUGUCAGGAUUAACAGCCUUUUUAAGGGCUGCAUAAUAUUCCAUUAUAUUAAGCUAUAUCGCAGUAUAUACAAUGGAAAUAUAUAUAUUCCAUUAUAAGAAGUAUGUAUAUCUCACAUGUUCUCUAAUCGUGCAGCAUUCUUUUCACUGGAUUCUAAAGGUUCGUUAGAGCCUAUAAUGGCAGUCCUUGUUAGAAUAAACACCACUUUGGAUUAAAAGACCUUCAGGUUUAUCAAAGAUACCAGCUUUACUAUUCUUUGUGGACUCAGCCCCACAAAGGACAGAAACCUAGAUGAACUGGAGCAUAUGAAUGGGGGGCCCUUAGUCAGUGGGGCCCUUAGUCAGUGCUCUUGUCUGAAUAUUCAUGUCCCCCCCCCCUUCAAUUCAUAUAUUGAAACCCUAACUUUAAGGUGAUUAGGAGAUAGGGCCUUUGGGAGGCAGUUAGUCCUGAAUGUGGAACCCUCAUAAAUGAGAUUAGUAUCCUCAUAAAAGAGGCCCCAGAGAGCUCUCCUCAUCCCUUCAGCCACAUGAGGACACAGUGAGAAGUCUGCAGGCAGGAGGAAGGCCCUCCCUUGACCAUGCCAGUACCCUGAUCUCAGACUGCCAGCCUCCAGAACUAUAGGAAAUACAUUUCUGUUGCUGAUAAGCCACCCAGUCUGUGGUGUUUGCUUGUAGCAGGUCACAAGGACUAACAGCCUGGUCAGCAAGGGUGAGGCUGCCUCCAGGAGGGUGGGUGGCCUUUUAAAACAGCCUCCCCCCUGUGGUUCCCUGGGGCAAGGGAAGUGGGGGAGGGGUACGUACCCAAGCAGAUACAGGCUUUUAAAGGACUUGCAUUGCCAUUAUUCAUCUCUUCUGGCCAAAGGCAUAUCUGCAGAUGAAUAUUCCAGAAAAUAUCAUUUUUUUUUUUGUUUUCAAGUUACAGAAGUAAAGUGUGCCUAUUGUAGAAAACAAGGACAAUACGGGAAAUAUAAAGAAAAACUGGAAAUCACCCAGAAUGCCACUGCCUAGAGAUCUUUUCUUGCCAGCCCUUCGGUGUAUUUCAUUUUAGCAUUUGGUGUGUAUGGGAUCAUAUUGUAAGCAAUUUUAUGUCCUUCAUCCAUUGAGCAUUACACUGUGAUCAUUUUCCCUGUCAUUAAAUUUAUUUGAAAACAUCAUUUUUAAUGGCUGCGUAAUAUUCAGCCUUGUGGCUGAUUCAUAAUUUAUUUAACCAUUUCUCCCCUUUUGGGCACUGAUGUUCAUUCUAAUUUGUAGAUAUUAUAAAUAUCCACAAAUAAUGGUGCUGUGAACACCCUCAUACAUAAAUCCUUGGGCGCUUUGUGCUUAUUUCUUGAGGACAGAUUCCUAGAUGUGGAAGAGAGGGGAUAUGUAUUUGGUAGUAGAUCCGGGUAGUAGAUCCCAAGUUGCUUUCCAGCAGAGUCUCCCGGUGAAGGCUUUGCCCCACUAGAAGAGAAUGUCCUCGUUCUGGCACUUUCUUCUGCAUUGAGCAUUACUUUUUCGUAAAUCACUGCUAAUGUGAUAGAAUACACACUGCUCCUGAGCUGCUUUGUCAUUUGCUCAUUGAUUUUGCCCAAUUUUCCAAUAGGGUGUCAUCAUUUUCCUUGCUAUUCCUAAAAGUUCCUUCUACAUGAAGAUUCUUCAUAUUUUCACAAAUACAAUACAAAUAUUUCUCCCAGUUGGUUAUUUGCCAUUACAUUUUUU
RNAcentral lists this long non-coding RNA (2133 nucleotides) under Canis lupus familiaris (dog). Its description in RNAcentral is "lncRNA (ENSCAFG00845019507.1)". Lineage: Eukaryota; Metazoa; Chordata; Mammalia; Carnivora; Canidae. The record is from RNAcentral.